GCACGAAUGGUCUAGUGGUAGAAUAGUACCCGGUUCAGAUCCGGGUUCGAUUCCCAGCUGGUGCA
Molecule: transfer RNA, 65 nt
Filed under: Medicago truncatula (barrel medic)
Lineage: Eukaryota; Viridiplantae; Streptophyta; Magnoliopsida; Fabales; Fabaceae
Description: tRNA-OTHER
Source: RNAcentral